AAUGGGGGAAACCUGAUGCAGCGACGCCGCGUGGAGGAAGAAGGUCUUCGGAUUGUAAACUCCUGUUGUUGAGGAAGAUAAUGACGGUACUCAACAAGGAAGUGACGGCUAACUACGUGCCAGCAGCCGCGGUAAAACGUAGGUCACAAGCGUUGUCCGGAAUUACUGGGUGUAAAGGGAGCGCAGGCGGGAAGACAAGUUGGAAGUGAAAUCCAUGGGCUCAACCCAUGAACUGCUUUCAAAACUGUUUUUCUUGAGUAGUGCAGAGGUAGGCGGAAUUCCCGGUGUAGCGGUGGAAUGCGUAGAUAUCGGGAGGAACACCAGUGGCGAAGGCGGCCUACUGGGCACCAACUGACGCUGAGGCUCGAAAGUGUGGGUAGCAAACAGGAUUAGAUACCCUGGUAGUCCACACUGUAAACGAUGAUUACUAGGUGUUGGAGGAUUGACCCCUUCAGUGCCGCAGUUAACACAAUAAGUAAUCCACCUGGGGAGUACGACCGCAAGGUUGAAACUCAAAGGAAUUGACGGGGGCCCGCACAAGCAGUGGAGUAUGUGGUUUAAUUCGACGCAACGCGAAGAACCUUACCAAGUCUUGACAUCCUGCGACGCACAUAGAAAUAUGUGUUUCCUUCGGGACGCAGAGACAGGUGGUGCAUGGUUGUCGUCAGCUCGUGUCGUGAGAUGUUGGGUUAAGUCCCGCAACGAGCGCAACCCUUAUGGUCAGUUACUACGCAAGAGGACUCUGGCCAGACUGCCGUUGACAAAACGGAGGAAGGUGGGGAUGACGUCAAAUCAUCAUGCCCUUUAUGACUUGGGCUACACACGUACUACAAUGGCGUUAAACAAAGAGAAGCAAGACCGCGAGGUGGAGCAAAACUCAGAAACAACGUCCCAGUUCGGACUGCAGGCUGCAACUCGCCUGCACGAAGUCGGAAUGCUAGUAAU
This 945-nucleotide ribosomal RNA is filed under the name uncultured bacterium. RNAcentral's name for it is "bacterial SSU rRNA". It matches the Rfam family "Bacterial small subunit ribosomal RNA", at positions 370 to 1342 of the family's 1533-position model. The record is from RNAcentral.